GUGAAGAUUUGGGCAGGCCAUACGGACGCCAAAAAGUGUCCCUGGCCGCCUACACCCACUAUACAUCCACAAACCCGUGUGCACUGUCUUGGAGAAAGGCUUCAGAGAAGUUUUUUGUGGAUGUAUAGUGGGUCUUUCUUCGCUACAAACUCGAAUGGUUAGUAUGAACGUGGAACUUGGUUGGACCGUCACUGGCCAACAAACUAUACA
RNAcentral lists this unclassified non-coding RNA (210 nucleotides) under uncultured Malassezia. RNAcentral describes it as "sequence contains ITS1". Lineage: Eukaryota; Fungi; Basidiomycota; Malasseziomycetes; Malasseziales; Malasseziaceae. The record is from RNAcentral.